RNAcentral lists this ribosomal RNA (292 nucleotides) under uncultured bacterium. Its description in RNAcentral is "partial 16S ribosomal RNA". It matches the Rfam family "Bacterial small subunit ribosomal RNA", at positions 505 to 796 of the family's 1533-position model. The record is from RNAcentral.
GUUACAGCCGCCGCGGUAAUACAGAGGGGGCAAGCGUUAUUCGGAAUCAUUGGGCGUAAAGGGCGCGUAGGCGGCUGAGCAAGUCCUGGGUGAAAUCCCUCGGCCUAACCGAGGAACUGCCUUGGAAACUGCUCGGCUUGAGGCCGGGAGAGGGUGGUGGAAUUCCCAGUGUAGCGGUGAAAUGCGUAGAUAUUGGGAGGAACACCAGUGGCGAAGGCGGCCACCUGGACCGGUCCUGACGCUGAGGCGCGAAAGCGUGGGGAGCAAACAGGAUUAGAAACCCCAGUAGUCC